GACGAACGCUGGCGGCGUGCUUAACACGUGCAAGUCGAACGGAAAGGCCCUGCUUUUGUGGGGUGCUCGAGUGGCGAACGGGUGAGUAACACGUGAGUAACCUGCCCUUGACUUUGGGAUAACUUCAGGAAACUGGGGCUAAUACCGGAUAGGAGCUCCUGCUGCAUGGUGGGGGUUGGAAAGUUUCGGCGGUUGGGGAUGGACUCGCGGCUUAUCAGCUUGUUGGUGGGGUAGUGGCUUACCAAGGCUUUGACGGGUAGCCGGCCUGAGAGGGUGGCCGGCCACAUUGGGACUGAGAUACGGCCCAGACUCCUACGGGAGGCAGCAGUGGGGAAUAUUGCACAAUGGGCGGAAGCCUGAUGCAGCAACGCCGCGUGCGGGAUGACGGCCUUCGGGUUGUAAACCGCUUUCGCCUGUGACGAAGCGUGAGUGACGGUAAUGGGUAAAGAAGCACCGGCUAACUACGUG
Molecule: ribosomal RNA, 468 nt
Filed under: uncultured bacterium
Lineage: Bacteria
Description: partial 16S ribosomal RNA
Rfam family: Bacterial small subunit ribosomal RNA
Source: RNAcentral